GCUAAGUACCCAAAAGUUCCCAUUACUCGUGUGGAGACGUGAGUAUCAGAGUCAUAAUUCAACCUUGCAAGCCCAAAAUCAGCAACCUUUGCAUCAAAAUUGUCAUCAAGAAGAAUAUUGGAGGCCUUGAUAUCGCGAUGUAUGAUCUUGGGAUGACAUUCUUCAUGCAGAUAUGCCAAUCCUCUUGCAGAACAUAAAGUAACUCUCAUCCUAGUUUCCCAGCUUAGUGGGGGAUGCUCCUUGCCUGCAGUUAUGUCUCCAUGCAAGUGGAACUCCAAAGUUUUGUUUGGGACAAAUUCAUAAACUAACAGCCGCUGCACCCCUGAAAUGCAGUGUCCAACCAAUGAAACAAGAUGCUUGUGAUGAACGUGGCUAAUA
This 378-nucleotide unclassified non-coding RNA is filed under the name Hevea brasiliensis (rubber tree). Lineage: Eukaryota; Viridiplantae; Streptophyta; Magnoliopsida; Malpighiales; Euphorbiaceae. The record is from RNAcentral.